Molecule: long non-coding RNA, 312 nt
Organism: Myotis brandtii (Brandt's bat)
Lineage: Eukaryota; Metazoa; Chordata; Mammalia; Chiroptera; Vespertilionidae
Exons: 2
Source: RefSeq, a predicted model, not a curated record
AGGACACUUUAACUUGGAUCCAAAACAGAAUGUCUCCCUUCUUUUAAAGGUGAAAAGUUGUGCUGAGUUUGUGUCUCUCUCAAAGACCAGGAUUGAGCAAUACGAGAAAGAGCUGGAGAAGAUGAGGAACAUAAUUCCAUUUGACCAGAUGACCAUUGAGGAUUUGAAUGAAGUCUUCCCGGAAACCAAAUUAGACAAAAAGAAGUAUCCCUACUGGCCUCACAAGCCAAUUGAGAGUUUAUAAACUUGAGUCUGAGAGGAAGCUCUGCUCCUUGUAUUUUAAACUCUGGACAUUAAAAAUAAUCAGAUGGU